RNAcentral lists this ribosomal RNA (137 nucleotides) under uncultured bacterium. RNAcentral describes it as "partial 16S ribosomal RNA". It matches the Rfam family "Bacterial small subunit ribosomal RNA", at positions 355 to 509 of the family's 1533-position model. The record is from RNAcentral.
UGGGGGAUAUUGCACAAUGGGGGAAACCCUGAUGCAGCAACGCCGCGUGAAGGAAGAAGGUCUUCGGAUUGUAAACUUUUGUCCUUGGUGAAGAUAAUGACGGUAGCCAAGGAGGAAGCUCCGGCUAACUACGUGCC